RNAcentral lists this ribosomal RNA (350 nucleotides) under uncultured bacterium. RNAcentral's name for it is "bacterial SSU rRNA". It matches the Rfam family "Bacterial small subunit ribosomal RNA", at positions 486 to 835 of the family's 1533-position model. The record is from RNAcentral.
AUAAGCACCGGCUAAUUUCGUGCCAGCAGCCGCGGUAAUACGAAGGGUGCAAGCGUUAAUCGGAAUUACUGGGCGUAAAGCGCGCGUAGGUGGUUUAUUCAGUCAAAUGUGAAAGCCCCGGGCUCAACCUGGGAACUGCAUCUGAUACUGCUUGACUAGAGUAUGGCAGAGGGCGGUGGAAUUUCCUGUGUAGCGGUGAAAUGCGUAGAUAUAGGAAGGAACACCAGUGGCGAAGGCGACUGCCUGGACUGAUACUGACACUGAGGUGCGAAAGCGUGGGUAGCAAACAGGAUUAGAUACCCUGGUAGUCCACGCCGUAAACGAUGUCGACUAGCCGUUGGGAUCCUUGA